CUGAUGACCUAGUCAGUUCCCAUGUGAGAGCCCCAGCAGAGACUGUAGAACCUUUCUCCUCUGUAUCCAACAUUAUCUGCGUGUAUUUCUCUGUCCACGACUGGAGGAAUCAGUCACGACUCUCCAUGGUCACCAGCACGUGACCUUGAAAAACAGUGGGGAUGGGAGGGGGUCAAGUGCAAUGAGUGGGUGAUCCUGAGUACCACUUGGCGGAAAAUAUGUUCCAAACUUUUAUCAAGGCUACUGACAAAGUACCUGAUUGUCCUCUUUGAUUUUAAUUUCCUUUUUCUGCCUCUUCCUAAGCCUCCAGGGAAUGAACAAAUAACAAAGGAAAUGGCUGACAAAGGGAAAAUUAUGAUGUGAGAAUUUCACUAAAGAAUUUAGCCCACUUUACUCUGUUCGCAAAGGCCCUGGAAUUGGCCCCGAACUGGGGUUUAGGGAAUCUAUCAUUUGUUCCCACGGUGUCCUUAUUAGCCAGGCAACCUGGGCAGAGUUUAAACCUCAAGGAUCUUCCUGUUCUCAUCUGUCAAAUUGGGCUAAUGAUGUCAAUCCACCCCACGAGUCUUUCUACUGUCGGUGUCCCAGUGCUGCGAUUCAAACCUGACCUUCGGAGAUGGAUUGACAGAACGUGUGGAGGCAGAGAAUGCAGGCACGAUGUCUCCAGGGCAACUCCUGGAGUCGCAACGGCCUGGCCGUGGCUCACUGCAGUGCCUUGGGAACAGACACAAUACACUCCAAGUCCAAGGCUGGUUCCUGCACUUCCACUGGAGAACUGGCCAAGAAGCAAGGCAAAUAACGGACUUGGAGAGUUCUAGAUAAAU
RNAcentral lists this long non-coding RNA (821 nucleotides) under Felis catus (domestic cat). RNAcentral's name for it is "lncRNA (ENSFCAG00000053304.1)". Lineage: Eukaryota; Metazoa; Chordata; Mammalia; Carnivora; Felidae. The record is from RNAcentral.